CGGGGUGUAGCGCAGUCAGGUCAGCGCACCUGCUUUGGGAGCAGGGGGUCGGUGGUUCAAAUCCACUCACCCCGA
RNAcentral lists this transfer RNA (75 nucleotides) under Candidatus Stahliibacteriota bacterium. RNAcentral's name for it is "bacterium (Candidatus Stahlbacteria) tRNA-Pro". It matches the Rfam family "tRNA". From Rfam's summary of the family: Transfer RNA (tRNA) molecules are approximately 80 nucleotides in length. Their secondary structure includes four short double-helical elements and three loops (D, anti-codon, and T loops). Lineage: Bacteria; Candidatus Stahliibacteriota. RNAcentral also lists the same sequence under 1 other name. The record is from RNAcentral.